This 495-nucleotide ribosomal RNA is filed under the name uncultured bacterium. Its description in RNAcentral is "partial 16S ribosomal RNA". It matches the Rfam family "Bacterial small subunit ribosomal RNA", at positions 28 to 507 of the family's 1533-position model. The record is from RNAcentral.
GAUGAACGCUGGCGGCGUGCCUAAUACAUGCAAGUAGAACGCUGAAGGAGGAGCUUGCUCUUCUGGAUGAGUUGCGAACGGGUGAGUAACGCGUAGGUAACCUGCCUGGUAGCGGGGGAUAACUAUUGGAAACGAUAGCUAAUACCGCAUGACAACAGUUAUUGCAUGAUAACUGUUUAAAAGGGGCAACUGCUCCACUACCAGAUGGACCUGCGUUGUAUUAGCUAGUUGGUGAGGUAACGGCUCACCAAGGCGACGAUACAUAGCCGACCUGAGAGGGUGAUCGGCCACACUGGGACUGAGACACGGCCCAGACUCCUACGGGAGGCAGCAGUAGGGAAUCUUCGGCAAUGGACGGAAGUCUGACCGAGCAACGCCGCGUGAGUGAAGAAGGUUGUCGGAUCGUAAAGCUCUGUUGUAAGAGAAGAACGAGUGUGAGAGUGGAAAGUUCACACUGUGACGGUAUCUUAACAGAAAGGGACGGCUAACUACGUG